CUUUGUGGACACCAAGAGGAAGAAGAAUAUGGUAAGCUUCCCACACAUUAGUAAGAAAGUCCUGCUGAAGUCAUCCCUGCUGUAUCAGGAGAAUCAAGCUCACAAUCAGAUGCCGGCCUCAGAGCUCAAGGCUUCAGAAAUACCUUUCCACCCUAGCAUUAAAACCCAGGAUCCCAAGGCAGAGGAGAAGUCACCAAAGAAGCACAAGGUGCCUCUGACAGCCGCAGGUCCUUCCUGAUUCAGCUGCAGAUUUGAGCGUGAAGCCUCCUGGGCCUUUAAUGUUGCCUUUAUGUUACCUGUCUGGCCCUGCAGACAUCACAGUUCUCAAAGCCUCUCAAGACAGACUAAUUAUAGCUUAAUUUCACAUUAACUUGGGCAACUUGCCACCUAAACUAUAUACUAUUGUUGACACUAA
RNAcentral lists this small RNA (415 nucleotides) under Pongo abelii (Sumatran orangutan). Its description in RNAcentral is "processed transcript". The record is from RNAcentral. Lineage: Eukaryota; Metazoa; Chordata; Mammalia; Primates; Hominidae.